RNAcentral lists this ribosomal RNA (253 nucleotides) under uncultured bacterium. Its description in RNAcentral is "partial 16S ribosomal RNA". It matches the Rfam family "Bacterial small subunit ribosomal RNA", at positions 524 to 776 of the family's 1533-position model. The record is from RNAcentral.
GACGAACCGUGCGAACGUUGUUCGGAAUCACUGGGCUUAAAGGGCGCGUAGGCGGGCCUCCCAGUCCGGGGUGAAAGCUUUCGGCUUAACCGGAAAAGUGCCUUGGAUACUGGAGGUCUUGAGGGAGGUAGGGGCAGCCGGAACUUCCGGUGGAGCGGUGAAAUGCGUAGAUAUCUGGAGGAACACCGAUGGCGAAGGCAGGUCUCUGGGCAUUAACUGACGCUGAGGAGCGAAAGCAUGGGGAGCGAACAGG